AACGAACGCUGGCGGCGUGCCUAACACAUGCAAGUCGAACGAUAAAGGGGCUUCGGCUCCGAGUAGAGUGGCGCACGGGUGAGUAACACGUGGGUAACCUGCCUCUAAGAUUGGGAUAACUCGUCGAAAGAUGAGCUAAUACCGGAUAAGACCACAGUUCCUGCGGGAACAGGGGUCAAAGGUAGCCUCUGCUUGCAAGCUAUCACUUAGAGAUGGGCCUGCGCACCAUUAGCUAGUUGGUAGGGUAACGGCCUACCAAGGCAAAGAUGGUUGGCUGGUCUGAGAGGAGGAUCAGCGACACUGGAACUGGGACACGGUCCAGACUCCUACGGGAGGCAGCAGUGGGGAAUGUUGCGCAAUGGGCGAAAGCUUGACGCAGCAACGCCGCGUGAGUGAUGAAGGCCUUCGGGUCGUAAAGCUCUGUCGGGAGGAACGAAUGCUCCUGAGGUUAACAGCCUCGGGAGGUGACGGUACCUCCAAAGGAAGCACCGGCUAACUCUGUGCCAGCAGCCGCCGUAA
RNAcentral lists this ribosomal RNA (519 nucleotides) under uncultured bacterium. Its description in RNAcentral is "partial 16S ribosomal RNA". It matches the Rfam family "Bacterial small subunit ribosomal RNA", at positions 29 to 523 of the family's 1533-position model. The record is from RNAcentral.